GAUGAACGCUGGCGGCGUGCCUAAUACAUGCAAGUCGAGCGAACAGAUGAGGAGCUUGCUCCUCUGACGUUAGCGGCGGACGGGUGAGUAACACGUGGAUAACCUACCUAUAAGACUGGGAUAACUUCGGGAAACCGGAGCUAAUACCGGAUAAUAUAUUGAACCGCAUGGUUCAAUAGUGAAAGACGGUUUUGCUGUCACUUAUAGAUGGAUCCGCGCCGCAUUAGCUAGUUGGUAAGGUAACGGCUUACCAAGGCAACGAUGCGUAGCCGACCUGAGAGGGUGAUCGGCAACCAUGGAACUGAGACACGGUCCAGACUCCUACGGGAGGCAGCAGUAGGGAAUCUUCCGCAAUGGGCGAAAGCCUGACGGAGCAACGCCGCGUGAGUGAUGAAGGUCUUCGGAUCGUAAAACUCUGUUAUUAGGGAAGAACAAAUGUGUAAGUAACUAUGCACGUCUUGACGGUACCUAAUCAGAAAGCCACGGCUAACUACGUG
RNAcentral lists this ribosomal RNA (497 nucleotides) under uncultured bacterium. RNAcentral describes it as "partial 16S ribosomal RNA". It matches the Rfam family "Bacterial small subunit ribosomal RNA", at positions 28 to 507 of the family's 1533-position model. The record is from RNAcentral.